CUCCCGAGAGACCGAUAGUGAACCAGUACCGCGAGGGAAAGGUGAAAAGUACCCCGAGCAGGGGGGUGAAAUAGACCCUGAACCCGCGCGCCUACAAGCGGUCGGAGCUGCCUUGUGCAGUGACGGCGUGCCUUUUGCAUAAUGAGCCUACGAGUUAGUCGUCACCAGCGAGGUUAAGGGCUUCAGGCCCGUCAGCCGAAGUGAAAGCGAGCCUUAACAGGGCGUGAAGUUGGUGGCGCUAGACGCGAAACCUUGUGAUCUACCCACGAGCAGGUUGAAGUCGCGGUAACGCGUGAUGGAGGACCGAACCGGUAAACGUUGAAAAGUUUUCGGAUGACUCGCGGGUAGGGGUGAAAGGCCAAUCAAACUUGGAGAUAGCUCGUACUCCCCGAAAUGCAUUUCGGUGCAGCCUGUGAUGUUCUGUUCCAGAGGUAGAGCUACUGGUUGGACGCGAGGGCUUCACCGCCUAUCAAAUCCGGAUAAACUCCGAAUGCUGGAACACGAAAUCAUGGAGUGAGCCCGCGGGUGCUAAGGUCCGCGGACGAGAGGGAAAGAACCCGGACCACCGGCUAAGGUCCCGGAUGGACAGUUAAGUUGAUCAAACGAGGUGGGAUCGCGGAGACAGCUAGGAUGUUGGCUUGGAAGCAGCCAUUCAUUUAAAGAGUGCGUAACAGCUCACUAGUCGAGCGAUCCCGCGUGGAUAAUACACGGGCAUAAAACUGUCAACCGAAGCCGUGGGGUUAGCUUUAUUGCUAACCGGUAGGAGAGCAUUCCUGCCAGCUUUGAAGGUCACCCGCGAGAGUGACUGGAGCGGCAUGAAAAGCAAAUGUAGGCAUAAGUAACGAUAAUGGGGGCGAGAACCCCCCACGCCGCAAGACCAAGGCUUCCCCGGCAAUGUCAAUCAGCCGGGGGUCAGCCGGCCUCUAAGGCUAACCCGAAGGGGGAUGCCGACGAGAAACGGGUUAACAUUCCCGUGCUUCUCGUCACCGUGACGCGGUGACGGGGUGAUGAAUGGACCGCGCGCAGACGGAAUAGCGCGUUGAAGGCCGUACCCUUUGAGGGUGGUAGUCAAGCACGCCACCGGAGGCGACAGCCGAUAGUACCUCGAGGCCUCGGCCGAGGGGAUAGCGUCCAGGCAAUUAACCCCCUAGAAAACCCGCUAAACUUCAAGUGACGAGGAACCGUACCGUAAACGGACACACGUGGUCGGGUAGAACAUACCAAGGCGCUCGAGUGAUUCAUGGUCAAGGAACUAGGCAAAAUAGUCCUGUAACUUAGGGAUAAAGGACGCUCUAGUGAUAGAGCCGCAGAGAAAUGGCCCAGGCGACUGUUUACCAAAAACACAUGGCUAUGCCAAAUCGAAAGAUGACGUAUAUGGCCUGACACCUGCCCGGUGCCGGAAGGUUAAGAGGAGAGCUCAUCAGUAAUGAGAAGGUUUGAAUUGAAGCCCCGGUAAACGGCGGCCGUAACUAUAACGGUCCUAAGGUAGCGAAAUUCCUUGUCGGGUAAGUUC
This 1513-nucleotide ribosomal RNA is filed under the name human gut metagenome. Its description in RNAcentral is "bacterial LSU rRNA". It matches the Rfam family "Bacterial large subunit ribosomal RNA", at positions 473 to 1983 of the family's 2925-position model. The record is from RNAcentral.